UGCGUAGGCGGAUUAAUAAGUCAGUGGUGAAAACCUGCAGCUUAACUGUAGAACUGCCAUUGAUACUGUUAGUCUUGAGUACGGUCAAGGUAGGCGGAAUGUGUAAUGUAGCGGUGAAAUGCUUAGAUAUUACACAGAACACCGAUUGCGAAGGCAGCUUACUGGGCCAUUACCGACGCUGAGGCACGAAAGCGUGGGGAGCGAACAGGAUUAGAUACCCUGGUAGUCC
This 229-nucleotide ribosomal RNA is filed under the name uncultured bacterium. Its description in RNAcentral is "partial 16S ribosomal RNA". It matches the Rfam family "Bacterial small subunit ribosomal RNA", at positions 568 to 796 of the family's 1533-position model. The record is from RNAcentral.